RNAcentral lists this long non-coding RNA (821 nucleotides) under Elaeis guineensis (African oil palm). Its description in RNAcentral is "long non-coding RNA (EGUI_LNC005032)". Lineage: Eukaryota; Viridiplantae; Streptophyta; Magnoliopsida; Arecales; Arecaceae. The record is from RNAcentral.
AUGAGUCAAAUUCUUGCCUCAUAUCACCAUACCAUGCUGCUCCUUCAACGAUCCGUCCGUGCAUAGUGCCCUGGAAGUCGGGAGCUAGCAACCAACCACCACUCCAUCAGUGCCUCAUUUUCCUCCGAGUUGUGCCCUAAUGCCCCGUUAUCUCCACAAUUAACUUGUGCCCUAGCUUUUGCGGUCCGCUCUCCUUGGGGAUGGCAUGAUCGAAGGGAAGCCGAUGGCCAGUGACCACCCUUCACGCUGACUAGUUGGGAAGGGGCCACCGGUGCCCUAGUGCACCAUUGUCUCCACCAUCCACUUGUGCCUUAGCUUCUACCGUGCCCCAUCCCCAGUGACAACAUGACCAGAGAGAAGUCGACAGCUAGUGAUCAUCUUUCACUCCAUCCGGGUUUUCAAGUGACCUCCAAUUCUCAAGUUCCCAGAUCCACUCUCACCCUCCGGGCAUUUUCCAUUCUCCACCGCCAACCAUGGUACAAUUAAUUUGGUUCGAGUCAAGAAAUUGGGUUUUUUGGUCUAUUUGUUUUAUAAUACAUUUUUACUUUGUGUCUAAAUGAAGGAAUAGCUACAUUACAAUUCCUACAACAUGCAGUCAACAAAGGAAAAUAGAAUAUGCGAUCAUAUAUCAGCGAGAUCUUCUGUUAGAAUCAUUACAUGUACAUGCUUUAUGUAUAAGUUUAUACGUGAUUGCUACUAUAAUUGACCCACGCUUUAAUCAUUUUCAGCAUAUAUAGUUCAUAUGCAUGUGGAUUUAUAUGAUGGGCGCAUGUGGGCAUUUAUUUUACAAUGAUGUGUUUCAAAAAGAAGCAGUGUUGCAG